Myotis myotis is the source of this 897-nucleotide long non-coding RNA. RefSeq lists it as uncharacterized. NCBI's taxonomy places the organism in Eukaryota, Metazoa, Chordata, Mammalia, Chiroptera, Vespertilionidae. The transcript has 3 exons. The record is from RefSeq and is a predicted model, not a curated record.
ACCCUUCCUCUCUGAAGGACAUAUGCCAUUGGACCAGAGGUUUUGAAUCUUCUAGAAAUCACUUUAACAUGCAGGAGAGAAGCAGUCUUUCCUCCACCAAAAACACUAGAGAGUGGAUGAGAGACGAAUCCAUGUGCCCGGAAGCCCGCCUGCACCUGCACACGUUCCUUGGCCUGCACUGCCAAAGAGGCCAGCAUGCUGGCAAUUGAUUGGAAAUCCCUCCUCACCUUCUUUCAACCAUGGUCACAUUUGUGCAAAUGCAAAUUAGCAGCUGGGCAUAGUCAAUAACAUAUGAGACCUGGUCAAGAUUGGGUGGUUCAUCGUAAGUCACCGAUCCCUGACCCAACAUCUGCUUCUUCAUCAGCACGACGGUCAUAACCACAUCUCACUCCCAGCAUGUUUAGAGAACUAAUUAACGCUUAUGAGGUGUUUUGAGAUCACUGAUAAAAGGCACUCUACCUGCCCAGGGUGUUAUUAUAUUAUUUUAUUUUCCUCUUCAUGGUCAGGAUUGAGCCAGUGAUAAUCUAGAAAUGAGGCAAAUUUGUUAAAUGUGUAGUGUGAAGGCCAUCUGAACAAUUGGAUUUCUGUUGGACUAGACAUUGCACUUGAACUAUAUAUAUAAGAAGAGAUGCUGAGCUAUGCUUGGGAAGUCUCAAGUGCUUUCAGAUUUGACUAUCAGGUUACAUUUCAUGACUCUUCUUAGACCUCCUUUGAAAUGGUAAAUCGUUAAGAGCACAGCAUCUGCACACAUUGCCCAUAAAAAUGAACUUAGUACUUGGCUUCAGAAAUGCCCAAACUACACCUGACCUUGUGCAGAUUUGUUUCUGUUCCCCUACAACAGUGGUUAUCAACCUUCCUAAUGCCGAGACCCUUUAAUACAGUUCCUCAUGUUGUGGC